Molecule: ribosomal RNA, 253 nt
Filed under: uncultured bacterium
Lineage: Bacteria
Description: partial 16S ribosomal RNA
Rfam family: Bacterial small subunit ribosomal RNA
Source: RNAcentral
UACGUAGGGGGCAAGCGUUGUCCGGAAUCAUUGGGCGUAAAGAGCGUGUAGGCGGCCCGAUAAGUCCGCUGUGAAAGUCCAGGGCUCAACCCUGGGAUGCCGGUGGAUACUGUCGGGCUCGAGUCCGGAAGAGGAGUGUGGAAUUCCUGGUGUAGCGGUGAAAUGCGCAGAUAUCAGGAGGAACACCGAUUGCGAAGGCAGCUCACUAAGUCAUAACUGACGCUGAUGCACGAAAGCGUGGGGAGCAAACAGG